GAUGAACGCUAGCGGCAGGCUUAAUACAUGCAAGUCGAGGGGCAGCACAGAUAGCAAUAUUGGGUGGCGACCGGCAAACGGGUGCGGAACACGUACACAACCUUCCUUUUAGUGUGGGAUAGCCCAGAGAAAUUUGGAUUAAUACCACAUAGUAUAUUGGAGUGGCAUCACUUUGAUAUUAAAGAUUUAUCGCUAAAAGAUGGGUGUGCAUAUGAUUAGGUAGUUGGUAGAGGUAACGGCUCACCAAGCCUUCGAUCAUUAACUGGUGUGAGAGCACGACCAGUCACACGGGCACUGAGACACGGGCCCGACUCCUACGGGAGGCAGCAGUAAGGAACAUUGGUCAAUGGACGGAAGUCUGAACCAGCCAUGCCGCGUGAAGGAUGACGGCCCUCUGGGUUGUAAACUUCUUUUAUGUGGGACGAAAAAGGGCCAUUUUUGGUCAACUGACGGUACCAUAGGAAUAAGCACCGGCUAACUCCGUGCCAGCAGCCGCCGUAA
Molecule: ribosomal RNA, 501 nt
Filed under: uncultured bacterium
Lineage: Bacteria
Description: partial 16S ribosomal RNA
Rfam family: Bacterial small subunit ribosomal RNA
Source: RNAcentral